Molecule: long non-coding RNA, 550 nt
Organism: Sapajus apella (tufted capuchin)
Lineage: Eukaryota; Metazoa; Chordata; Mammalia; Primates; Cebidae
Exons: 3
Source: RefSeq, a predicted model, not a curated record
AGGAAGACAACCCAAAAAAACUGUUUAUAAAAGACUGGAUAUUGUGGAUGUAAAGCCAUAUUGGUCUUAACCUGUUUCAGGAACUGAAAUGGCCCCAUCUGUUGUUCACAGAGCUGAUCAUCUUUGAAAAAUCUAAUACAUCCUACCUUAUCUGUUGGACAUAUUAAUUUUAAAUGAUUUUUAGGGUCCAUUUAAUUUGUAUUUGAAUUCAGCUUUAAUUUAAACUGAUUGUUUAGUUUCUGUAAAUUAUAUUUAAAUAAGGAUUUCAAGAUGAAGAGACACUGCAUAGCCAGCCAGCAUCACAAACCUUCAAAGCAAUAUUUCUGUGGCUGCUGCUGUCAUCACCACAGCAUUUCCUAGCCACCAACCCAGUCACUUAAGCUUAAUGUGUGCUGCAAUGACUUUUAGAACCUCCUCUGGCUGGUCAUUUUCUAAUUAAAGUAAGGUGGGACAUUCAUGUGUUGAAUCAUUUUGUUAGGUACACCAAUUCCUAGCAGAUUAUGACUAACACUUAUAAGCCUUUGCACAUCCCUCUUUAAAAAAAAAAAAA